Molecule: ribosomal RNA, 495 nt
Filed under: uncultured bacterium
Lineage: Bacteria
Description: SSU rRNA
Rfam family: Bacterial small subunit ribosomal RNA
Source: RNAcentral
AGGAUUAACGCUGGCGGCGUGCAUGAAACAUGCAAGUCGAGCGCGGUGUGAUGCGGGGUAACCCAAUUCACAUCUAGCGGCGAACGGGUGAGUAACACGUGAGCAACCUACCUUUGAGUUGGGGAUAGCCCUGGGAAACCAGGAUUAAUACCCGAUGUGGUCACAACAGGACAUCCUGAUGUGAGUAAAGGCGUAAGCCGCUCAAUGACGGGCUCGCGGCCUAUUAGCUUGUUGGUGGGGUAACGGCCUACCAAGGCGAUGAUGGGUAGCUGGUCUGAGAGGACGAUCAGCCACACUGGGACUGAGACACGGCCCAGACUCCUACGGGAGGCAGCAGUUAGGAAUUUUCCGCAAUGGGCGAAAGCCUGACGGAGCAACGCCGCGUGAGUGAUGAAGGUCUUCGGAUUGUAACCUCUGUCACCGGGGUAAAAACGUUUGAGUUAAUAGCUCAAAGCCUAGAUUUAACCCGGAGAGGAAGCAGUGGCUAACUCUGUG